This 392-nucleotide RNase P RNA is filed under the name Prolixibacteraceae bacterium. RNAcentral's name for it is "RNase P RNA component class A". It matches the Rfam family "Bacterial RNase P class A". Rfam says of the family: Ribonuclease P (RNase P) is a ubiquitous endoribonuclease, found in archaea, bacteria and eukarya as well as chloroplasts and mitochondria. Its best characterised activity is the generation of mature 5'-ends of tRNAs by cleaving the 5'-leader elements of precursor-tRNAs. Lineage: Bacteria; Pseudomonadati; Bacteroidota; Bacteroidia; Marinilabiliales; Prolixibacteraceae. The record is from RNAcentral.
ACCGCAGACCGCUCUAUCGCUCUUUUUUAGAAAAGAGAGGAAAGUCCGGGCAACAUAGGACACCAUGCUUCUUAACGGGAAGACAGGCGAAAGUUUGUAUAAAAGAUAACAGAAAAUAACCGUCCGGCUAUGCCGGAUAAGGGUGAAAAGGCGAGGUAAGAGCUCACCGAAUUUGGACGGAAUUCCGAAUUCGUAUCUUUCAUGGGUUGCAAGGUCAAAUAUAUUAUGGCAAACAGUAAUGUUUACGAGGCUGUCCGUCUUGUCUUCGAUUUUUCGAUAGCCAUAAGGGGUAGACUGCUGUUGAUCGGAACAGCAAUGUUCCGGCUAGAUAAAUGAUAGGGAUUUUCGGUUCGCCGAAAAGACAGAACCCGGCUUACACGUCUGCUUAUUUU